UUGAACGCUGGCGGCAUGCUUUACACAUGCAAGUCGAACGGUAACAGGCCGCAAGGUGCUGACGAGUGGCGAACGGGUGAGUAAUGCAUCGGAACGUGCCCAGUCGUGGGGGAUAACUACUCGAAAGAGUAGCUAAUACCGCAUACGAUCUAUGGAUGAAAGCGGGGGACCGUAAGGCCUCGCGCGAUUGGAGCGGCCGAUGUCAGAUUAGGUAGUUGGUGGGGUAAAGGCUCACCAAGCCAACGAUCUGUAGCUGGUCUGAGAGGACGACCAGCCACACUGGGACUGAGACACGGCCCAGACUCCUACGGGAGGCAGCAGUGGGGAAUUUUGGACAAUGGGCGCAAGCCUGAUCCAGCAACGCCGCGUGCAGGAAGAAGGCCUUCGGGUUGUAAACUGCUUUUGUACGGAACGAAACGGCUCUGGUUAAUACCCGGGGCUAAUGACGGUACCGUAAGAAUAAGCACCGGCUAACUACGUG
RNAcentral lists this ribosomal RNA (481 nucleotides) under uncultured bacterium. Its description in RNAcentral is "partial 16S ribosomal RNA". It matches the Rfam family "Bacterial small subunit ribosomal RNA", at positions 30 to 507 of the family's 1533-position model. The record is from RNAcentral.